AAGGUUUCCGUAGGUGAACCUGCGGAAGGAUCAUUGUCGAAACCUGCAAAGCAGACCCGCGAACGUGUGUUUCUUCCUCGGGGUGUCGAGGCAUGGGCGGACGAAAGUCCCCCCGAGUCGAGGCACCCUCGCCCGUGCGACGCGUGCGUCGUUCGAGCUAACGAACCCCGGCGCGGCAUGCGCCAAGGAAAACAACAAAGAAGCGUCGACCCUCGUUGCCCCGUCAGCGGGUGCCGCGGUGGGAAACACGACCUCUCUUGAAUGUCAAAACGACUCUCGGCAACGGAUAUCUCGGCUCUCGCAUCGAUGAAGAACGUAGCGAAAUGCGAUACUUGGUGUGAAUUGCAGAAUCCCGUGAACCAUCGAGUCUUUGAACGCAAGUUGCGCCCGAAGCCACUAGGCCGAGGGCACGUCUGCCUGGGCGUCACGCAUCGCGUCGCCCCCUCCCAAUCCAUCCUUAGGGUGCUGGGAUGGGGGGCGGACACUGGCCUCCCGUGCGCGCUUGUGUGCGGCCGGCCCAAAUGCGAUCCUGCGUCGACGGAUGUCACGACAAGUGGUGGUUGGACCUUCAACUCGCGUGCUGUCGUGCCUGGCUCCGUCGCUCGCUCGUGCAUCGUUUCGACCCUAAGGCGCCUACACGCGCUUCCGACCGCGACCCCAGGUCAGGCGGGACUA
This 675-nucleotide ribosomal RNA is filed under the name Galvezia fruticosa. Its description in RNAcentral is "eukaryotic LSU rRNA". The stretch from base 272 to 427 matches the Rfam family "5.8S ribosomal RNA". Lineage: Eukaryota; Viridiplantae; Streptophyta; Magnoliopsida; Lamiales; Plantaginaceae. The record is from RNAcentral.